GACAGAGGUGCCGAGCGUUAGGCGGAAUCACUGGGCUUAAAGCGUGUGUAGGCGGACUUCUAAGUACCUUGUGAAAUCCCACGGCUUAACCGUGGAACUGCUUGGUAUACUGGUUGUCUUGGGCCAUCUAGGGGCUAGCGGAACAAACGGUGGAGCGGUGAAAUGCGUAGAUAUCGUUUGGAACGCCAAUGGUGAAAACAGCUAGCUGGGGAUGUGCCGACGCUGAGACACGAAAGCCAGGGGAGCAAACGGG
Molecule: ribosomal RNA, 253 nt
Filed under: uncultured bacterium
Lineage: Bacteria
Description: partial 16S ribosomal RNA
Rfam family: Bacterial small subunit ribosomal RNA
Source: RNAcentral